This 490-nucleotide ribosomal RNA is filed under the name uncultured bacterium. RNAcentral describes it as "partial 16S ribosomal RNA". It matches the Rfam family "Bacterial small subunit ribosomal RNA", at positions 30 to 507 of the family's 1533-position model. The record is from RNAcentral.
AUUGAACGCUGGCGGCAGGCCUAACACAUGCAAGUCGAACGGUAACAGGAAGCAGCUUGCUGCUUUGCUGACGAGUGGCGGACGGGUGAGUAAUGUCUGGGAAACUGCCUGAUGGAGGGGGAUAACUACUGGAAACGGUAGCUAAUACCGCAUAACGUCGCAAGACCAAAGAGGGGGACCUUCGGGCCUCUUGCCAUCGGAUGUGCCCAGAUGGGAUUAGCUAGUAGGUGGGGUAACGGCUCACCUAGGCGACGAUCCCUAGCUGGUCUGAGAGGAUGACCGGCCACACUGGAGCUGAGACACGGUCCAGACUCCUACGGGAGGCAGCAGUGGGGAAUAUUGCACAAUGGGCGCAAGCCUGAUGCAGCCAUGCCGCGUGUAUGAAGAAGGCCUUCGGGUUGUAAAGUACUUUCAGCGGGGAGGAAGGGAGUAAAGUUAAUACCUUUGCUCAUUGACGUUACCCGCAGAAGAAGCACCGGCUAACUCCGUG